GGCUCGGACCCUGUGCAAUUUCAGCCUACGAACCGCGUCAGGGCCGGAAGGCAGCAGCGCUAAGUAGUCACUGACAUGUGCCGCAGGCUCUUCCGGGUCGCG
Molecule: signal recognition particle RNA, 102 nt
Filed under: Acidobacteriota bacterium
Lineage: Bacteria; Pseudomonadati; Acidobacteriota
Description: signal recognition particle sRNA small type
Rfam family: Bacterial small signal recognition particle RNA
About the family: The signal recognition particle (SRP) is a universally conserved ribonucleoprotein involved in the co-translational targeting of proteins to membranes. Archaeal SRP consists of a 7S RNA and homologues of the eukaryotic SRP19 and SRP54 proteins. In most bacteria, the SRP consists of a 4.5S RNA and the Ffh protein (a homologue of the eukaryotic SRP54 protein).
Source: RNAcentral